AGCUUGCUCUCCGGAGUGACGAGCGGCGGACGGGUGAGUAAUGUCUGGGAAACUGCCUGAUGGAGGGGGAUAACUACUGGAAACGGUAGCUAAUACCGCAUAACGUCUUCGGACCAAAGUGGGGGACCUUCGGGCCUCACGCCAUCAGAUGUGCCCAGAUGGGAUUAGCUAGUAGGUGGGGUAAUGGCUCACCUAGGCGACGAUCCCUAGCUGGUCUGAGAGGAUGACCAGCCACACUGGAACUGAGACACGGUCCAGACUCCUACGGGAGGCAGCAGUGGGGAAUAUUGCACAAUGGGCGCAAGCCUGAUGCAGCCAUGCCGCGUGUGUGAAGAAGGCCUUCGGGUUGUAAAGCACUUUCAGCGAGGAGGAAGGGUGGUGUGUUAAUAGCGCAUCACAUUGACGUUACUCGCAGAAGAAGCACCGGCUAACUCCGUGCCAGCAGCCGCGGUAAUACGGAGGGUGCAAGCGUUAAUCGGAAUUACUGGGCGUAAAGCGCACGCAGGCGGUUUGUUAAAUCAGAUGUGAAAUCCCCGCGCUUAACGUGGGAACUGCAUUUUGAAACUGGCAAGCUA
This 575-nucleotide ribosomal RNA is filed under the name uncultured bacterium. RNAcentral describes it as "bacterial SSU rRNA". It matches the Rfam family "Bacterial small subunit ribosomal RNA", at positions 65 to 643 of the family's 1533-position model. The record is from RNAcentral.